UCCGCGCUCGAAGGAUCGCAUUCAAAGCUCACGCACAGCAGGUGCCCAUUCAGCAUCUGCAUACCCUUCUAGCUUUGGGAGAAAGUCCCCGGACCGCCCUACCUUUCCGCGCCCACGCGCGGUAAAGAACGUCAGGACCUGCCGCGAGGCACCGCCAUAAAAGCACCACCACUGCGGUCUACGCCCGCCUCCCGCUCUCUCCUCAGGCCCCUCUGAGCUACGGCCCGCCGACCUCAUCGUCGCUUGUAUUCCUUUUCCUCCGUGCGGGCGGGUGUUGGCGCCUCAACGCUGACGGGAGAUUCAUCCUGGAGAAGUGGAUGAAGAUACGAGUCCGCUCUCCACCACGGGAUGUUUUCUCUGUGAAGCCGAGACGCUGGACCCCACCCCACGGGGAAAUGUGAAGAGAAGGAGAGGGUACAUAAAUUGGGCGUGUGCCGUUCUGGCUCGGGGACUCGUCUGAGGAAGCUUACGAGUGAUUUUUGGAGGUUGCGCAAUUCGUCAUAUGUUGAAAGUUAUGCGAUUUCUCUGGCUGGUGCGGCUUCCUCUUAAGAGAGGCCGCUCCGACGCCGAGUAACUCGAUGGGGCUUAUUCUCGAGGCGCGG
Molecule: RNase MRP RNA, 602 nt
Filed under: Cladophialophora yegresii CBS 114405
Lineage: Eukaryota; Fungi; Ascomycota; Eurotiomycetes; Chaetothyriales; Herpotrichiellaceae
Description: RNase MRP
Rfam family: RNase MRP
About the family: RNase MRP is an enzymatically active ribonucleoprotein with two distinct roles in eukaryotes. In mitochondria it plays a direct role in the initiation of mitochondrial DNA replication.
Source: Rfam by way of RNAcentral